CUCGUAGGCGGUUCGUCGCGUCCGGUGUGAAGGUCCAUCGCCUAACGGUGGAUCUGCGCCGGGUACGGGCGGGCUGGAGUGCGGUAGGGGAGACUGGAAUUCCCGGUGUAACGGUGGAAUGUGUAGAUAUCGGGAAGAACACCAAUGGCGAAGGCAGGUCUCUGGGCCGUCACUGACGCUGAGGAGCGAAAGCGUGGGGAGCGAACA
Molecule: ribosomal RNA, 207 nt
Filed under: uncultured bacterium
Lineage: Bacteria
Description: partial 16S ribosomal RNA
Rfam family: Bacterial small subunit ribosomal RNA
Source: RNAcentral